Dama dama (fallow deer) is the source of this 731-nucleotide long non-coding RNA. RefSeq lists it as uncharacterized. The record is from RefSeq and is a predicted model, not a curated record. Lineage: Eukaryota; Metazoa; Chordata; Mammalia; Artiodactyla; Cervidae. The transcript is spliced from 2 exons.
AGACCACAAGCCUAGAAAUUCCGGGACCUGGGUUUCAGCUCUGGUUCUGCAGGUGCAUAUUCAAUCAUGUGAAGUUUUCAUACAUGAACAGGAUGCCCUGCAACGUUGAUAUGUAAAUUUUAGGGAGACCACUGGUUAACCCUUUCUCAAGUUGAGAAGGAAAAUAGAAAAAUAUAGACUCAUGUUCUCAGGCCCUUAUGUUCCUUUCAGGUUGUUUGAAACCAAUCCAUUAAUGACCAUAUGUGGAAAAAUUCCCUUAUCCUUGAAAUUGCCUGGAAAUGAGGCCAUACAAUGGAAUCACCUUGGGAUGAAGUUUUUUUCUCAAAUAAAGUAGGAAAUCCCCUACAGAUGGUCAGAGGUGGACCGCUUGGAACACUGCCUGGCCAGCAGCUGGACAUUGCUUGGGUCAACCCCAAUGGAACACUAUUGUGGAUGCAUCAGUGAAUGAGUCACUGAGGAGGAAGAUGAGAUGGAUCAAAGGCCAGGCUCAGAGGAGAUACCUUUUGUUUUUUUAGAGAGCUUUGAGUUACUCAAGAAGAACCCUCUCAAAGUGCGAAUGGACCUACGGAGACAGAAAUUCAGUCUUUUGGUGCUAGAAUCUCACUGCUUGACAGAAGGCUCUCUGAAUUUCUAGACUAAUGGCACACAUUCUGGGCUGUAUUUAGCAGCCUCUCUUUCUUCUAUCCCAUUUCUUUCCCUUUAUUAAAUUUCUCUCUCUCUUUUUUGCCAAA